AGUGAACGCUGGCGGUAGGCCUAACACAUGCAAGUCGAACGGCAGCACAGUAAGAGCUUGCUCUUACGGGUGGCGAGUGGCGGACGGGUGAGGAAUACAUCGGAAUCUACUUUUUCAUGGGGGAUAACGUAGGGAAACUUACGCUAAUACCGCAUACGACCUACGGGUGAAAGCAGGGGAUCUUCGGACCUUGCGCGAUUGAAUGAGCCGAUGUCGGAUUAGCUAGUUGGCGGGGUAAAGGCCCACCAAGGCGACGAUCCGUAGCUGGUCUGAGAGGAUGAUCAGCCACAAUGGAACUGAAACACGGUCCAGACUACUAAGGGAGGGAGCAGUGGGGAAUAUUGGACAAUGGGGGGAAGCCUGAUCCAGCCAGAGCGAGUGGGUGAAAGAGGCCUUCGGGGUGUAAAGCCCUUUUGUUGGGAAAGAAAAGCAGCAGGUUAAUACCCCGCUGUUCUGACGGUACCCAAAGAAUAAGCACCGGCUAACUUCGUG
This 492-nucleotide ribosomal RNA is filed under the name uncultured bacterium. RNAcentral's name for it is "partial 16S ribosomal RNA". It matches the Rfam family "Bacterial small subunit ribosomal RNA", at positions 29 to 507 of the family's 1533-position model. The record is from RNAcentral.